This 258-nucleotide ribosomal RNA is filed under the name uncultured bacterium. RNAcentral describes it as "partial 16S ribosomal RNA". The record is from RNAcentral.
CUGCUGCCUUCCGUAGGAGUUUGGGCCGUGUCUCAGUCCCAAUGUGGCCGGUCACCCUCUCAGGUCGGCUACUGAUCGUCGGCUUGGUGGGCCGUUACCUCACCAACUACCUAAUCAGACGCGGGUCCCUCCUAUACCACUAUCGUUUUUCACUCAGCGCCAUGCGGCUCCGUGCGCUUAUGCGGUAUUAGCAGUCAUUUCUAACUGUUAUCCCCCUGUAUAGGGCAGGUUCCCCACGCGUUACUCACCCGUCCGCCG